Molecule: ribosomal RNA, 104 nt
Filed under: uncultured crenarchaeote
Lineage: Archaea; Thermoproteati; Thermoproteota
Description: partial 16S ribosomal RNA
Rfam family: Archaeal small subunit ribosomal RNA
Source: RNAcentral
CCUGACAGGGUACUCUGAGUGAUUUCCGCUAAGGGGAUCUUUUGGCACCUCUAAAAAUGGUGCAGAAUAAGGGGUGGGCAAGUCUGGUGUCAGCCGCCGCGGUA